RNAcentral lists this ribosomal RNA (454 nucleotides) under uncultured bacterium. Its description in RNAcentral is "partial 16S ribosomal RNA". It matches the Rfam family "Bacterial small subunit ribosomal RNA", at positions 356 to 803 of the family's 1533-position model. The record is from RNAcentral.
AGGGAAUCUUCCACAAUGGACGAAGUCUGAUGGAGCAACGCCGCGUGAGUGAUGAAGGGUUUCGGCUCGUAAAACUCUGUUGUUGGAGAAGAACGGGUGUCAGAGUAACUGUUGACAUCGUGACGGUAUCCAACCAGAAAGCCACGGCUAACUACGUGCCAGCAGCCGCGGUAAUACGUAGGUGGCAAGCGUUGUCCGGAUUUAUUGGGCGUAAAGCGAGCGCAGGCGGUUUUUUAGGUCUGAUGUGAAAGCCUUCGGCUUAACCGGAGAAGUGCAUCGGAAACCGGGAGACUUGAGUGCAGAAGAGGACAGUGGAACUCCAUGUGUAGCGGUGAAAUGCGUAGAUAUAUGGAAGAACACCAGUGGCGAAGGCGGCUGUCUGGUCUGCAACUGACGCUGAGGCUCGAAAGCAUGGGUAGCGAACAGGAUUAGAUACCCUGGUAGUCCAUGCCGU